This is a long non-coding RNA of Osmerus eperlanus (European smelt), 898 nucleotides long. RefSeq lists it as uncharacterized. The transcript is spliced from 3 exons. NCBI's taxonomy places the organism in Eukaryota, Metazoa, Chordata, Actinopteri, Osmeriformes, Osmeridae. The record is from RefSeq and is a predicted model, not a curated record.
CGUGCUUUUUUGAGACGUGUCUAUCAAACCACACGAAAUUAACGCCUGGUUUGGCUCAAUCAGCGUCUGGUUUUCCAAAAUUAAAGUCUGCUUGCUUGAAUCUCCGAUGGGAAAUUACGGCAACAAUUGUAACAUCUAAUACAUCAUCUAUGAUGUCCCAAAGGCCCAACUCCUUCUCAGGUCACCUUCUGGCAGCAACCAUGCAGCUGGAUUUCACUGUGCAACCAGGCCUACCCAAGCUGCUGCUGCUGGGCCCAGGGUUGAUUGUAAUGGCACACUGGGACUUGCAGAUGACCUGAAAUACAUAUUUUUCUUUCUGCUGUGUAAGAUGUAGGCCUACUGCUUUUAACUUGAGUUGAAUGCUAUUAAACACUGCCAUGGUCAGCAAACACUAGCCAUUGCUCUACUUCAGAAAGGAUACUGUUCACUGCUGUAUGAGUCAAUAGGACAUUACCUGAAUGACUUGUAGUGAUCGGGAGGUUAUGCCUGUUCUGAUGAUGGUAUAAACCAUGUUAGAUUGUUGGCUCUCUGCAUUGUUUGGGUCUCCUCUCUCUGUGUUCUGUUUCUGUGUCUUUGGUUCUGUUGCAGGAUGGCAGGCAGGUAGAGGAGCUGUGAUUGCUGCAAGGGCACACCUGUGACCUGUGCCUUGGUCCUUAAUAAGCUGUGCCCUAACAAGCUGGGUCUCUCCAUUAUUAGCAGGAACAUCAAAUCUAAUCUUCCUAUGAACCCAGUUAACACAAAAUAUUGUACACUGCUAAUCAUCAGCUAACUAAAUGUGUGUGGUGGCGUAGGACCCAAACGCAGGAGAGUAGCCAGACAUUGCCUCAAACAAAGGGUUUAUUCUUUUAAUUGGGAAACAGACAGGGUCAGUAGCGGUCCUAGUACAUAUGGCGCCCUA